Molecule: long non-coding RNA, 1842 nt
Organism: Aedes albopictus (Asian tiger mosquito)
Lineage: Eukaryota; Metazoa; Arthropoda; Insecta; Diptera; Culicidae
Exons: 2
Source: RefSeq, a predicted model, not a curated record
UCGAUACACUCUUGAUAGCACAUCUGUACCGAUGCAAUGAGUUUUUAAGUGCUCAUUUCACUUCUGAAACCAACAAGUUUUCAAUUUGUGCGCCCCAUGUCGAGCCCAUGUUCUUGGGAGAUUCUCGAGAAUUACCACCACGCUUCAGUUCAAAUCAUCUCUUGUUUCGCAUUUUUUUAAUUGCACAAAUGUGAAAAUUUCCUGGAGCUCUUGUAUACCUCCUACCUGCUCGUCGAUUCGAUGGCGCUCUAUAUUGUACGUAUGCGUGUUGAAUGCACAUGUGUGUGUAUGCUCAUGCUCAACGUUCUGAAACGAUCCCCGUUCUGUUGGUAUUCGAAUUCGCGAACGCGAACUACCAGUCAAGGUCAUCACGAUUCGUCGCUCUUUUUCCACUCCACCACCCCGGUGUCGGUGGUUUCCCACUGACUGCUGAACUGAAUGCUUAUCGCGUUUCCAUACGCUCGCGGUUGUAGUAUCAGCAGAAGCUCGCUGGAGGUUCUCGCCAAAAGCGAGUGAUCCUCCCGGCCGGCCGCCGGCUUGGGCUUGGGAUUUUAUGGAGACAGAAUUAUUCAUGAGAAAGUCGUCGUCGUUGCAUUCCUUCCACUGGUGGAGGAGAGAUCCUAAUCGGAUGGGGAACAUUCACUUUCAGGUAGGAAAGCUGCUGCGUCAGCAUCAGUGAUGAGGAAACUCAUCCCAAUUAAGGAUUGAAAUGGAAGCAUUGCUCGUGAUUAGGUUGGAUACGUGACAUUGCGUGACACGACUGGAAAGUAGGGUUGUUCCGUUAAAUGUGAUUUUUUACUGUCUUUUUGAUGUGUGAAAAGAGCAAUUCAGUUUAAGAACCCAACGUGAUACCAACUAUUUAUAAUGAUGGGCUAUUAUUUUUAAAGUAUAUGCAUAAUCAUUUUUCAUCUUCAGUGAAAGAAAAUAUCACGGAUUUUCAUGGAAAAAAAUGUCGUGACAUUUUUCAGUUUUACCAUUUUUAGUGCGAAUUUAUAUUAAUGAACAGCGCCGAUUUAUAAUGAUGGUUAUUUAUGUUGUCGAUAAGCAUUUUUUAAUCAAGAACAGUGAAAUUAACAAAUAGCAAAAUGAUAUUUUUAUGACAUUUUCUCAUCCAUUAGUAUACCAAAAAUGUCUCAGAAAAAAUGUUUGGUGAUGACAUUUUUCGUGAUAUUUCGUGAUAAGUUUAAUUGUGAAAUUCAUUUCAUUUUAGUAGAACUAUGGUUGGACUACUACAUAUCUACUGAUAACCAUGGCACAUCUACAGUCAGUAUUCGCUUUUUCUAGUUGAAGGAUAUAGCUUCGACAAUGAUAUGUGGUUCUCAUCCAGCACCUAAUUUGCCACCGUGCAUGCAAUUUUCAAUGUGUGUGAAAUAUUUUUUGCGAACGUGCCAUGCUGAGCAAACAGAGAUAAGCCAUAGGCGCCGCGAUGACGAUGGCGUAUCUCAAAUUCAAAUAAAAAAAAAUAAAAGCUUCAAACGUAGUCUGUCCAAAAUCCAUACUCCGGUUGUCGUAUGCCCUUUGCACCGCUGGCUGUGCUACCCGACAUUGAGAAGCAAAAUAAUAAAAAAUGAGUUCAUUUUUUGUAGUAUCAUAUUUCACGUCUUAGUUGUUGGAAGAGAGAAACAACCGAAAAGGAUGAUUGAGGUAAUGUCAUAAAAAGUAGGGGUAUAAGUGUGCGGUAUGGAGUCGGUGCUAAUGAAGAUUGACAUUUUUGCUGAUAGCAUAAGGCGUUUCCGAAUCGAGUGUCGAAUGGUGCGGUGUCUAAUUAAUCGAAGUCAUAAAAUGAUUCUUGUUAUACUUGUCGUUGUUGAACGUUAAUUGAUAGCAAUCCCAAAAAAAUAA